UCUCCGUUGGUGAGCCAGCGGAGGGAUCAUUACAAAGUUUUCACAACUCCCAACCCUUGCGAACCGUCCCCAUUCUGUUCUCGUUGCUUCCGGCGGCGGUGACGGGGGGGCCCGAAACGGCCUCACCGCCCCGCCUGCCGGGGGCGGCGGGCCCGACGAACCUUUCUACAACAACCACCAGCAGCCGCCUGGUAAUACAAACAUAAAAAUCAUAACAUUCAACAACGGGUCCCUUGGAUCUGGCAUCGAUGAAGAUCGCAGCAGACCGGAAGAGCGCAC
RNAcentral lists this unclassified non-coding RNA (279 nucleotides) under plant metagenome. Its description in RNAcentral is "partial contains small subunit ribosomal RNA, internal transcribed spacer 1, and 5.8S ribosomal RNA". The record is from RNAcentral.